AGGACGAACGCUGGCGGCGUGCUUAACACAUGCAAGUCGAACGGGAGGAAAAGAGAAGCUUGCUCUUUUGAAUCUAGUGGCAAACGGGUGAGUAACACGUAAACAACCUGCCUUCAGGAUGGGGACAACACCCGGAAACAGGUGCUAAUACCGCAUAACGUAUCGAUGUCGCAUGGCAAUGAUACCAAAGAGAAAUCGCACAAAGAUGAGCUCGCGUCCGAUUAGAUAGUUGGUGAGGUAACGGCCCACCAAGUCGACGAUCGGUAGCCGGACUGAGAGGUUGAACGGCCACAUUGGAACUGAGAAACGGUCCAGACUCCUACGGGAGGCAGCAGUGGGGAAUAUUGGGCAAUGGGCGAAAGCCUGACCCGGCGACGCCGCGUGAGGGAAGAAGGUCUUCGGAUUGUAAACCUUAGUUAGCAGGGAAGAAGAAAGUGACGGUACCUGCAGAGAAAGCCACGGCUAACUACGUG
RNAcentral lists this ribosomal RNA (473 nucleotides) under uncultured bacterium. RNAcentral's name for it is "bacterial SSU rRNA". It matches the Rfam family "Bacterial small subunit ribosomal RNA", at positions 26 to 507 of the family's 1533-position model. The record is from RNAcentral.